UACGGAGGGGACUAGCGUUGUUCGGAAUUACUGGGCGUAAAGCGCACGUAGGCGGAUUUGUAAGUCAGGGGUGAAAUCCCGGGGCUCAACCUCGGAACUGCCUUUGAUACUGCAAAUCUCGAGUCCGGAAGAGGUGAGUGGAAUUCCUGGUGUAGCGGUGAAAUGCGUAGAUAUCAGGAGGAACACCGGUGGCGAAGGCGGCUCUCUGGACGGAUACUGACGCUGAGGCGCGAAAGCGUGGGGAUCAAACAGG
RNAcentral lists this ribosomal RNA (253 nucleotides) under uncultured bacterium. Its description in RNAcentral is "partial 16S ribosomal RNA". It matches the Rfam family "Bacterial small subunit ribosomal RNA", at positions 524 to 776 of the family's 1533-position model. The record is from RNAcentral.